UACAGAGGUGGCAAGCGUUGUUCGGAAUUACUGGGCGUAAAGGGCUCGUAGGCGGCCAACUAAGUCAGACGUGAAAUCCCUCGGCUUAACCGGGGAACUGCGUCUGAUACUGGAUGGCUUGAGUUUGGGAGAGGGAUGCGGAAUUCCAGGUGUAGCGGUGAAAUGCGUAGAUAUCUGGAGGAAUACCGGUGGCGAAGGCGGCAUCCUGGACCGAGAUUGACACUGAGGAGCGAAAGCCAGGGGAGCAAACGGG
RNAcentral lists this ribosomal RNA (253 nucleotides) under uncultured bacterium. RNAcentral's name for it is "partial 16S ribosomal RNA". It matches the Rfam family "Bacterial small subunit ribosomal RNA", at positions 524 to 776 of the family's 1533-position model. The record is from RNAcentral.